CAAUAAGCGGAGGAAAAGAAACCAACAGGGAUUGCCCUAGUAACGGCGAGUGAAGCGGCAACAGCUCAAAUUUGAAAUCUGGCUUUCGGGCCCGAAUUGUAAUUUGCAGAGGAUGCUUUUGGCGCGGUGCCUUCCGAGUUCCCUGGAACUGGACGCCUUAGAGGGUGAGAGCCCCGUACGGUUGGACACCAAGCCUCUGUAAAGCUCCUUCGACGAGUCGAGUAGUUUGGGAAUGCUGCUCUAAAUGGGAGGUAAAUUUCUUCUAAAGCUAAAUACCGGCCAGAGACCGAUAGCGCACAAGUAGAGUGAUCGAAAGAUGAAAAGCACUUUGAAAAGAGGGUUAAAUAGCACGUGAAAUUGUUGAAAGGGAAGCGUUUACGGCCAGACCUUUUCCUGGUGGAUCAUCCGGUGUUCUCACCGGUGCACUUCGCUAGGUUUAGGCCAGCAUCGGCUUCCGCAGGGGGAUAAAAGCAGUGGGAAAGUAGCUCCUUCGGGAGUGUUAUAGCCCUAAGCAUAAUACCCUUGCGGGGGCCGAGGACCGCGCUUUUGCAAGGAUGCUGGCGUAAUGGUCGUCAACGACCCGUCUUGAAACACGGACCAAGGAGUCGAACAUUUGUGCGAGUGUUUGGGUGUUAAACCCUCACGCGUAAUGAAAGUGAACGGAGGUGAGAGCCCUUUAGGGUGCAUCAUCGACCGAUCCUGAUGUCUUCGGAUGGAUUUGAGUAAGAGCAUAACUGUUCGGACCCGAAAGAUGGUGAACUAUGCGUGGAUAGGGUGAAGCCAGAGGAAACUCUGGUGGAGGCUCGCAGCGGUUCUGACGUGCAAAUCGAUCGUCAAAUCUGCGCAUGGGGGCGAAAGACUUAUCGAACCAUCUAGUA
RNAcentral lists this ribosomal RNA (878 nucleotides) under Camillea heterostoma. Its description in RNAcentral is "partial large subunit ribosomal RNA". It matches the Rfam family "Eukaryotic large subunit ribosomal RNA", at positions 44 to 949 of the family's 3401-position model. The record is from RNAcentral. Lineage: Eukaryota; Fungi; Ascomycota; Sordariomycetes; Xylariales; Graphostromataceae.